Molecule: ribosomal RNA, 469 nt
Filed under: uncultured soil bacterium
Lineage: Bacteria
Description: bacterial SSU rRNA
Rfam family: Bacterial small subunit ribosomal RNA
Source: RNAcentral
AGAUUGAACGCUGGCGGCAUGCUUUACACAUGCAAGUCGAACGGCAGCACGGGGGCAACCCUGGUGGCGAGUGGCGAACGGGUGAGUAAUAUAUCGGAACGUACCCGGAAAUGGGGGAUAACGUAGCGAAAGUUACGCUAAUACCGCAUAUGCCCUGAGGGGGAAAGCGGGGGAUUCGUAAGAACCUCGCGUUUUCGGAGCGGCCGAUAUCGGAUUAGCUAGUAGGUGAGGUAAAGGCUCACCUAGGCGACGAUCCGUAGCUGGUCUGAGAGGACGACCAGCCACACUGGAACUGAGACACGGUCCAGACUCCUACGGGAGGCAGCAGUGGGGAAUUUGGACAAUGGGCGCAAGCCUGAUCCAGCCAUGCCGCGUGAGUGAAGAGGCCUUCGGGUGUAAAGCUCUUCGGCGGGACGAUAAUGACGGUACCGCAGAAGAACGCCCGGCUAACUUCGUGCCAGCAGCCGAC